Molecule: long non-coding RNA, 361 nt
Filed under: Panax ginseng (ginseng)
Lineage: Eukaryota; Viridiplantae; Streptophyta; Magnoliopsida; Apiales; Araliaceae
Description: long non-coding RNA (PGIN_LNC005511)
Source: RNAcentral
UCCUAGAGCAGUAAAUAUUUGAUAUUGGCAACCUAACAGUGUAUCAUUGUUUUUCUGGACAGAGCAGAUAUGCAAAUAUAAUCCCAAGCACGUUCAUUAGUUGAAAUAUUAACUAGCAGAGAUGCUAUUUGUUUUGCUGCAAUUUCAGGACAAAAGGAGUAACCCCUCAUUGUACUAUUGAGUAACAAAAGGAAAGAGAUACCUAAUACAAAAGUACUAUCUACAUAGGAGCAUGGUAACAAAAUUUUACAAGUAAAGUAGACCGACCCUAAAACCAAAAACUUCAUUCUAUCAUGAUCAGGUCUAUGCAUGAUAAUGUAGGACAAUCUGCAAAGGCACAAGUGCAGAAAGACGAUGCAUU